Molecule: ribosomal RNA, 1337 nt
Filed under: Grimothea gregaria
Lineage: Eukaryota; Metazoa; Arthropoda; Malacostraca; Decapoda; Munididae
Description: Munida gregaria 16S ribosomal RNA
Rfam family: Archaeal large subunit ribosomal RNA (bases 1090-1248)
Source: RNAcentral
AAGAAUAAUUUACUUAUUAAAAAUUGUUGUUUAGAUUUAAUGAGAAAAAUAAUUUUAAUAAUAUAAAAGAUAGUAGAUUUUAUUGAAAUCAUAUAGAAUAGGUUAAAGAUUAAAAGUAUUGUGAGAGAAUAUUUAAAUAUUUUGAAAAUAAUUUAAAAAAAAAAAAUUAUAUAAUUUGUACUUUGUGUAUCACGGAUUUUUAAAAUUAUAUUGAUAAUAAUAAAUCCCGAAAAAAAAAGAUUUAUAAUUUUAUUAAAGUUUUUAUAUCAUUAAAAUUUUAAAUAUAAAUUAUAGUAGUGAGAUGCUAUGACGAGUUUUUAUAUCUGGUUUUUUAUGAAACAAAUUUAAUUUGAAUUUAAGAUUAAAAAUAAUCUUAAAAUUAAGAAUAUAAGGGUAGAGCUUUAAUAUUCAAUAAUAGAUUUAAAAUGAAUAAAUAAAUUUUUUUAAAAAAAAUUAGGUUUUAUAGUGGCCAUAUUUUUAAAGUGUUUUAACUAAUAGUAUACUUAUAUAUUAUUUUAUUUAUUCUUUUGUUGUAGUAAAAGUUUUUUUUAAAUUUAAAAAGAUUAGAGAUAAUGAAAAUAUUAGUAGAAUAGUAAAAUAUAUAUUUAUUAUUAAAAUAAAUUUAAUAAUAUUUUAUAAUAUAGUAGAUAAAAUUUAAAAGAACUCGGCAAAAAAAGUUCUUGCCUGUUUAACAAAAACAUGUCUGUGUGAAGUUAUACAGAGUCUAGCCUGCCCAUUGAAUAAUUUUAAAAGGCCGCGGUAUAUUAACUGUGCAAAGGUAGCAUAAUCAUUAGUUUUUUAAUUGAAGGCUUGUAUGAAGGGUUGGACAAAGAAUAAUCUGUUUCUAUUUUUGUUUUUGAAUUUGACUUUUAAGUUAAAAGGCUUAAUUGAAUUUAAGGGACGAUAAGACCCUAUAAAUCUUUAUAUUAAAUUAUUUUUAGUUAAUUAAUAAUGUAAUUUUAACAGUAAAAUAAAAUAUAUUGUGUUGGGGUGAUGAGAAUAUAAAAUUAACUGUUCUAAAUUGAAAACAAAUUUAUUUGAAUUAAUAAUAGAUCCUUAAUAGAGAUUAAAAGUUUAAGUUACUUUAGGGAUAACAGCGUUAUUUUUUUUGAGAGUUCAUAUCGAAAAAAAAGUUUGCGACCUCGAUGUUGAAUUAAAAGUUCUUUGUGGUGUAGGUGCUACAAAAGAAAGUCUGUUCGACUUUUAAAUUUUUACAUGAUUUGAGUUCAGACCGGCGUAAGCCAGGUUGGUUUCUAUCUUUGAAUAUAUAAUUUAAAUUAUUUUAGUACGAAAGGACCAAGUAAAUUAAAAUAAUUUUAUUUUAAAGUAAAAUAUUA